GCUACGUGGGCUCCGGGAUGUGCGGCUGGUCUUUCCCCGGGUCGGGCCGUGCGCGCCGGGAGGCGCAGGUUGCCGCUGGCUACGAGCGCGGCUGCCGGCGGGCAGAAGCAGCUCCCCGCCGCUAGGACCCCUGCGAGGUUUGUUGCCGAGUGAGGGUGGUACGGCAGGUAAACUGAGGAAGGCUGCAGCUGGCGUGCUGCAGUCACAGGUUGUCCAGCAGCAGGUAAACCUUAGGAGGAACUGGUCAAAGGAAACAGUGCUUUCUGGAACUGUCAAGUUCUUGUUCAGCAACUCAGUGACUAGUUUGAUCUACUUCUCAGAUGUAGAGGUGUCUCGCACAGGCUCAGUGGGGCCAAACUGCACUCAGAAGAGCAGCACGAGAAGGGCAGGCUGGUCAUGAGCUGGGUUGGAGCAGAACAGCCAAGUAGCACAAGGUGACUAUGAAAGGUGUCCAUCUUGCUUUGUGGGUGCCAUGGCAGGCUCUCCACAGAAGUGGCUGAGGAUUUGAGAUAAGGCCAGAGAGUGACAAGGAGCAGCACGUGCAGGGAUGGUUUCCAGGCGCUGCGGUGGCUUUCUCUUCUGUUCAUCAGGUGCCACAGGCAAGGUGAGUUGUAACAUCAGUCUUUAUAAUCACAGGAAAGCAGGCCACUUGAAUGCUACAGAACAUCUGAGAAGGAUGUUCUAGCAGAAAAAGCUUGUCUGGCACAGCAGAGCCUGAUGGCAGUGUGUUUCCUCAGGUGAAGAGGUGCCUGAAGCCCCAUCUUAUCUACCCUGCACACACUUAUCUGAGAAUGAAAGCUGCUUUCCAGUAAUUCAGAAACCCAGGUUACAUCUCAGCCUUGAGUAUCUCGGGCUUUUGCCUGGGCUUUUGGGCCUGUCUGUAACAUUUGGCACCAGCACUAAUACUUUUUUUGGUGUAUGUUUAAUGUUUGGGGCCUGUGUCUGGGAUUUGGGACCUGUCUUGAACCACUGGGGCUUUGUCAUGGGUUUUGGAGCCUGCCUGUAGAGUUCAGGGCCUGUGAUUAGGCUUUUGGGGUCUGUGUCUGGGGGUGAGGGGGUUGGGGCCAGUGUCUGGGAGUGAGAGGGGAGCUACUUGUAGACCAUUGGGGCCAGUGUUGAGGGGGUUGGGAGCUGAUUGUACACCUUUGGGGAGUGCCUCUGGGUGUCUGUGUCUGUGUGUGUGGGGGGGUGUUAGGAGCUUCUUGUACACUGUAGGGGUCUGCAUCUGUGGGGGAGGAUUGGGAGCUACUUGUACACUCUAGGUGUCUGAGUUGGGGCUGGGGGGGGGGAGGGGUUGGAGCUGGUUGAACACUGUAAGUAGUGUAAUACACCAUAAAUGUUUGUUCAUUGUCUUUUGUAUUAUAAAAACAAGGAGUUCUGUUUGAGGACUGGGAGUUGCGAAAGCUCCCUGCUGAAGUAAGGAGCUGUAUAAUGCUUGGCUAGACACUAUGAAAAUUCUUUUGCUCAAUGUAACAAAAAAGAGAACCCCCUCCCCUUCUCUCCUUCUGCAUCUCAGUUGGCUCUUUUGUUCAAAGACACUGCUGCAAAGCUCAUGUAACCAUCUCCUGACAAGUUGCUAAACUAGUGUAUCAACAUCCUGCCUUCCUGUCUCACUCUGCGCCAACAUGACCAAAUAAAAAAAGAAGUUGAACCACAACGCCGAGGAAGACUACAGCCUUCAUCUUCACGACCACCAGAGGGACAGAGAUGACCCCCUAGCAACAGUGCGCGCAGUUGCAGAAUAUACCAGGAUGUGCUGUGUAAUCCCGGAAUUACCAAGAUAUAAAAAGGGACCCUGGCGGGGGUGAGGUGCGCGCCGUUGGCGGAGCCGAGACUCCGCGGCCGCCCAGUGCUGUUUUGCUUGCUGUUGGCUUACUCAAUAAAUUCCUUUAUAUGGUUAAUACAAUGCUCUCUGAAAAAUUAAGGGGGCAAUUUAUAACAGGUAGGGGCCUGCUUCUGGGGGGGGUUGGGACCUGCAUCUGGGGGAGGGGUGGGAG
This 1997-nucleotide long non-coding RNA is filed under the name Cairina moschata (Muscovy duck). RNAcentral's name for it is "domestica (muscovy Duck (domestic type)) lncRNA (ENSCMMG00000010206.1)". The record is from RNAcentral. Lineage: Eukaryota; Metazoa; Chordata; Aves; Anseriformes; Anatidae.